Molecule: long non-coding RNA, 6993 nt
Filed under: Phaseolus vulgaris (common bean)
Lineage: Eukaryota; Viridiplantae; Streptophyta; Magnoliopsida; Fabales; Fabaceae
Description: long non-coding RNA (PVUL_LNC003756)
Source: RNAcentral
UACUAAAACUAGAGUAUAUCAUAAGUGAGGGAGGAACCAUUAUUGUUUCAAUUCAUCAACCACCUUUAACCUUUUAUUCACAAUAUAAACUAAUUAGUUUAAAAUAUCAUCAUAUCACAUCAACCUUUUUAAAUCAAUACUUAAAAAGUUUUUAACAUAUACAAUCAGAAACUAUAGGUGCUAAGUGUGUGUUCAUCACUGCCUGAAGAAAUUUGUGAGUGAUUUACCAUCCAACUCUUUCUUGAAGAAUCUGGUCAUAAAUUCAUGGAAAGUGAAGUUCCUGUAAAGGGCUGGUUUCUCGGUUGAUGUUAGCUCUGGCAAUGGUCCAAAGAGUUUCUCCCUGUCACUUGGAUUGAGGAAAACAGCAACUGAGACUCUAGCCUCAUUACAAUGAUUAGCUAACACUCGAUGAUGAGCACUCUUAUAUGCUUCGUUAGAAAUUAUCUGAAACACAAAAUAAUGAAUAUGAAAGAUCAGAAAAAGGGAUGUCAUAAAACAAUUCCUACAUAUAUAACCUGGUAGACCUUCAAAUUUAACCAAAGUUUUUCUUGAAGUUAUAAAUGGUUCAAAUAAUAUGUUUACAAAAUCAUAAAAGUCACGUUGAUGCUAAGUUAACAAAUUGAUUUCAUAACUUUGCUUCAAAAUCUUAAUUCUAAUUAAUUUAAUUCCGUUCUUUUUGUUUGUCAAAUGCAUUCUCUUCAAAAUUAAGACCACUAAUAAUCUAUUAUUUUCAUUCUAUUAAACCAACUAACCACCAACUUCACCAACUUGACCAUAACAUUUUAAAGUAAAUAUUUUAGAUAAAUAAUGAUGAAAGGAUUAAAAAUAAUGUAAUUCUCAAGUGUUUUAAGAUGUUUCAAAUUAUUGACCCACAUGAAACAUCCAUCAUCAUAAGCACAAAAAUUAAGUGAAACAAGGCUUUAUUUAAUUAAACAAUUAUUAUUAUAUAUGAACAAAAUAAAAUAAAAUAUGAACCUGAAGGAAAUCUCCAAUGUUAAUAACCAAAGCUUGAGGCUGAGGCUUCACAUGGAUCCAACCAUCUGGAGUCUCAACCUGCAAGCCCCCAAUAUGGUCCUGCAGCAACACCGUAAGAGCCCCUGGAUCAGUAUGUGAAUUGAGACCCACCGUUAGAUCAGGCUGAGGGCAAAACGGGUAAUAGUGCCCCACCAUACCUCUUCCUUCCCCCAAACCCAUCUCCCUGAACCUCUCCGCACCCAAUCCCAGCCCCUCACUCAGCAACUCAAACAACACACUCGAAACACGCACCACCUCCUUAUUCCACUCCACCACCUCUUCUCUGCACAUCUCGGGAAUCUCCCUGGGAUCAACGGCUGUGGGCCCCAUUCUUAUCUGCAAAAUCAAAAUUAAAACUCAUAUUUAUUUUAUGAUUUCAUACAAUUUAUUUAUUUUCAAUGCCGAUUAAGUUUAAAUGUUUUCCAAAAAUUUAUAUUAUUUAAAGUUAAAAAAAUAGUCUGUGUGCCUUUUUAGACAGAAAUUUUAAAUAAUAAACACCAAAUAUUAAUUAGUACUUUCGAGGCUUGUAAAAAGGUUAAAUUUUAGUUUUAGUUGUUAUUUUAUUUUUUAUACGUGAUUUCGGUAACUAAAUAUUAAAGAGACUAAAUCACAAAUAAAAAAUUAAAAAAUAAAUUGCAAUUUAGCCUAUCGAAAAUUGCAUGAAUCUAAAAUUUUGUUUUAUAAACUAUAACCUAAUUUCUCUUGUUUCAAAAAUUAAUUAUUUAAAUUAAAAUUAUUAAUUAAAUAUACAUUUAAUCUUUCCUCAACAUGAUUUAUUUUAUGAAUAAAAGAACAUAAUUAAAACUUGAACCAAGUGGUCCCAGGAACACGAGUCCUAAUGCGUCAACCGAUUUAAAUUAUUUUUAAUUACAAAUUUUGUAUUACUUAAUCUUUGGUGAAGAUUAAUGAAUACAGAAUACCAAUAUAUUAUUAACUAAUAAAAAAUAGUUUUGAUAUAAUAUUUAAGAUAAUUAUUACUAAAUAUCGUAGAUUUAUUAUUUAUGGUGAAUAGUGAUUAGAAGGCGUUUCCCGUUUUUGACGCUAUGCUGAAAGUCACCGAGAAAUUAAAAUUCUUCAUAUAUUUCAGUUUUUAGAAGUAAUAAAAAAUAUUAAUCUUACACAAAAAAAAUUAAUUCACUUUAAAUUUACAAAAAUAAAAUAAAAAUCUCUUUCAUAAUAAUUAAUUGUAUAUUAAUAUUAAUUUCAAGUAUUAAUAGAAUUAAAAUUUCGUUAGUUACUCGUAUUGUGUCACGCCAGCUGGCAGCUUUUGAUUGGAAGAGAUCCACGUUGGAAAUGUACGAUACGCCCUUCCCCAUCUCUCUACGGUACACAGGCACUCUGUCCUCCGCGGGCUGCUCGUGGAACGCCUUCACCGCCGCCAGAGUUCGCCGGAGUACCUGCUCCGGGACGCCGUGGUUGAUCACCUGGAAGAACCCCACCGUGCUCGCCGCCUGCCGAACCCGCUCCACCACGGCGGCGCGCGACCCCUGCACGGCGGCCAGGUCAACCGUGGGAAUCUCCGGCGCAGAUUCGGAUUCGAACCCGCGCUUCAGCUCCGCUAAGGUUUUGGGCGGGUGAACGAAGAUAGGGGGGAUGGCCUUGAUCCCAGAAUCGACCAAACCUUUGACUCCGACCUUGGUUUCUUCGAACUCCUUCACCGCUUUCGCGCGGUUGUACGGCGCGGCGGCGCUGACAGCGGUGGCCACCGGCGAUGACAUUGGGAAGAGGCGAGAAUAGGAAUCGUUGUUUGAGUGUAGAAAGUUCAAAUUCAGUGCAAAGUGAAUUGAAAACUAUAAAGUGCAGUUUUCUGAUUUGGCACAAAAAUUAAAUAACAAAAAUAUAUUAGUCAAGAAACUUCACUAAUUCUAGUCAUUUUUUUAUUCAACAGGUUUUUUUUCUUAUUAAAAUAUAUCAAGUAACCAUAAUUAUUUAUUAUUACAUAAAAAAUAUAUUAUUAAAAAAUAUAUAUAUAAAAAUAAAAAAUAUGAAAUGAUUAGAUCAAAAUCUUUAUAUUAAAUAAAAUAAUAUAUAAAUAAAUUAUACAUAUUUAUAAAAAAUCUUAAAUCAGAUUAAAGGUUAAUAAGAAUUUAAAUAUAUAUUUUUCUUUAAUUUAUCGAACAACACUAACCUUUAAAACAAAUAAUAUUUCAAAUGUAAUAAUUAAUUUUAAUAAUACUAUAUUUCUUCAGAAGAAUAUUCAAAUUACAGUGAUGUUAUCAGUUACCUAACACUAAAAUAAUAUAAAUUUGGCCUUAUAGGAUGUUUUUAGAAUGUUGAAUUUUUUAUAAGGUGAGAAAGAAAAUACCAAUAGAAAAAUAAUUUUUAUAAUAGAGUUUAUAUGAAAUUAAGCUAAAAGCACUUUUAUAAGUAUAUCCAUUAUGAACUUCUCGAAGUAAGAAUAUUAUUAAUAGAGUUUAAUAUUUAACAAUUUAACUAUAUCAUGUAUAACUAAUAAUAAGUUGAUUUUUUUACUUAACCUUAACCUUAUUUAUGGAGGUUGAAAGCUCUAUAAAUAUAAAUACUUAUCAAAGAAAACAUAAUAUCUUACUAGAAAAUAAAAUUGUAGUUCUGUAACGUGAGUGAUAAAAAUAUUUGAAUUCAACCAGUUAAAGAUAUUGACUUUAUAUCUAUCAAAUUUAUCGUACUUAAAUCUACUAAACUAUAAUUUCAUAAUUUAUUUAUAUAUACUAAUUCAUAGAAUAAUUUGUUCAUGUUUUUAUUAUGUAUUAAUUAAAGGUUUCAAUUUUUUUGUAUUUUAAAAUUUAAUUCUUUAAAUUUUAAUCAAUAUUAUAAUUAGUAAAUAAAAUAAUAAGUUAGUCCACUUUGUUAGAAACUAGGGAAAUAAAAGGCGUGCCUAUAUGUUUAUUUUUUUAUGAUAAUAAAAGAUAAUUAAUAUAAUUAUUGUUAUUACAAUGAAAUGUAAUUAUCCUAAAAAAGUUAACUAAUGAAUAUAAAAACAGAGAGAAUAAAUUAAUAAAAAUAGUGUAUAAAAAAUAGUCAUGAAAACUAAUUCAUAGCUAAUAUUAAAAUGACGAUCAAUGAAAAUAAGAUUUUUUUAUAGUCAAUGUAAGUCAAGAUUUUUAGCUUUAUUGACAAGGAUUAGUUUCAAAUUAAUAUUAUUAAAAUGAUUUAUCAUCAAAUCAAGUUAUAACUAUUUAUUCAUAGAUGUUUGAUAUUUAGUGGGGUUUUAUUUAGAUGUUAGCCAAAAAAACUUCUAUUGAAAUUUUUAGUAGCUAUUUUUAAUCUGCUAGAAUUAUUUUAUGAACAAUAUUUCUAAUAUUAUUUGACGAUAAUUUUUGUAUUUAAUAUUUUUUAUUAAGUAAUAAUUAAAAUACUCAAUUCAAAAAAAUAAUAAACUUGAAUUUUCUAUUUGGGUGAUAGAAUUUUGAGCAUAGAAUAAAAGAAUGUGUUAACAAGGGAAGAACGUUUUGGUGAAGGCAUGGAAAGGUUAGAGUAUAUUCAACUUUCUGAAUAUAUGACUUUUAAGCAAUUUUAUUCAAUCAAUGCUACAACAUACAUUAUUGAAUAUAUUUGAGUUGACAUGACUUUUGGACUGCUUCUUCUUCUACCAUCAUAGUUUCUUCAAAGCUUCUUCCUACCUUCAAUCUCAUAAUUCUUAAAAUAUCAAAAAUAUAUUUUAUUUUAUUAAUGUUUUUUUUUAAAUAAUAUCAAUCUCAUUCUUUAAAAUAUCAAAAAUAUGUUAUAUUUUAUUAAAAUAUUUAAUUUCUAAAUAAUAAUUUGAAAAAACUCUGAAUUAUAGAAUUUAUAAAAUAUUUUUAAAUAUCCCGGUCUGGUUACUUGUUAAGGUAUUUUUCAUGGAAGUAUAGGGAAAUUUAUUGAAACUUUCUCUGCGUUUCUUGAAGUUCAGACUGCUCUGGUUGCUGAGUUUUAUGGGGUUAUACAUGCUAUGGAGAAAACUCAAAAGAUGGGGCUUUCUAAUGUCUGACUAGAAUGUGAUUUUGCUUUGGUUUGUGUUGCGUUUAUGGUUAUGACCAAUGUUCUUUGGAUGUUUCGUAAUCGAUGAAAUACUUGUCUUAAUUACUGUGGAAAAAUCAGAUUUAGGGUUACUCAUAUUUUUCGUGAAAGGAAUGCGUGUGUUGAUAAGUUGACAAUAUAAUUUAUUCAUAGAGAAUUUUUUCAUUGGUAUAAUACAUCUAGUAUAUUCUUAGAAUUAUUUAUGAAUAUGUAUCGUUUUUGUUAAUAUAUGCGUUUUGAUCUAAUUUAUCAUAUUUUCUUUCUUUUUCUUUUUUAAUAAUAUUUUUUUCAUGUGAUGAAAAAUAAUUGUUGUUACUUAGUGUAAGCAUAACUGAUAUAUGUCUAAGUUGCAUAAUGAUUACGAAAAAAUACAUUAAACAUGAAAGGUUUUAUUUUAAAAAAAAAACUUUCAUAAUUCUAUAAACUAAAAUGUGUUUUUUUUAAAAGAAUAUUCCAAAUUAUUAAAUAUGAAAGGUAUUUUUAAAUUAAAAAAUACAUUUUAAAUUCCAUAAUCUUGAAUUUGAAUUUAUUUUAUUUAAGAAAAAAUAUAUUCUGAAUUGUAGUCCAUAACUACAAUCCAGAUAUAUAAAUUAAAAAAAAAUUCAUUCAGAAAUUAUAAAAUCUAGAAAGUAUUUUUAUAUUUGAAAAUAUAUUUUAAAUUCUAUAAUUCAUAAUAUAUUUAAAAUAAAUAUUUUUGGAUUUCUUAUAAUCCAGAGUAAAUAAGAAAAAUUACAUUCUAAAUUAUAAAAUUUAGAAAAUACAUUCCAAAAAUUUUAAAAAUAAAAUAAUUUUUUCGUCUGAAAUAUAACAAUGUUAGAAGAAGCUAUGGAGGUUUAAGAAGAAAGAGUCUCAUCACCAUGUUUCAUGAAAAUUAUUAACCCAAUAAAAGAAGAGAAAGUUAUAAAGAUGUUUUAUAUUUGACACCACACAUUAAAGAUGAAAAAUUAAAUUUCUCACUCGAAAGACAUUUAUAGUCUCUUAUUAAAAAAUUAUAAAUUAAUUUAUACAUCAAUUAAUUUAAAUUUUAAAAAAAUGUUCUCCCAAAAAUAUUUAUAGAAAAUUUUGCCUAACAAAUUUCCAAUUGUAUAGAGAUUCAUCAUUUUCAAGUACUUUUUUAAGUAUUUGAAUGUUCACUCUUACCAAAAUAUGUAAAAAGAAGUUUCAAUAUCUUCUAAAGUACAUAAGAAAAUAGUUACAACCACAUCAUUGUUUUUUCUAGAACCUUAUGAAACAUUCUAAGGCUUUCCAAAAUAUUAAAGCAUUCUACAACCUCAAUAAAGUUUCUAAUUUAUACCUUAAAUAAUUUUAAUCUAUAGAAAAGCACUUUCUUGUCUUGUAAAAAUUCUAAAAGAAGUUUUAUAAAUUAACUAGUUUGUUACCAACACUGAAACAUAUACACUUGGCUUGCAACAUGCAAUAUAGGAUCACAAUAACCAGAAGUAUGAACAAGAUGACACAAUGUUUAGUUAGAAAUCCAAUACCAAUUUAAGUCAAAAUAAGAAUGAAAAAGUUAGACAUCAUAUAAAAAAAACAAAAAUUCUUUAUGAAUAGGUAUAGUCUAUCUAUGUAUCGUUUUUGUUAACAUAUGAGUUUUGGUCUAAUUUUCCAAUCUUUUUUAAUAAUAUUUUUUUUCAUGACAAAUGAUUAUUGUCACUUGAGGUGUCAACAUAGCUGAAAUGUCAAAUUACAUAAUAAUAACUAAAAUAAAAAUUUUUAUUUAAAAAAAAAACAAAAAAAAAUCAUAAAUUCAUUUGAGUUGAAAAAUGUCUAAUAUGUGUUACUAAAACUAGAGUAUAUCAUAAGUGAGGGAGGAACCAUUAUUGUUUCAAUUCAUCAACCACCUUUAACCUUUUAUUCACAAACUAAUUAGUUUAAAAUAUCAUCAUAUCACAUCAACCUUUUUAAAUCAAUACUUAAAAUGUUUUUAACAUUGACAUAUACAACCAGAAAUUAUAGGUGCUAAGUGUGUGUUCAUCACUGCCUGAAGAAAUUUGUGAGUGAUUU